AUGCUGCAGCGGGCGGCGAGCAACGCCUACUCGUGGUGGUGGGCGAGCCACAUCCGCACCAGGCAGUCCAAAUGGCUCGACAGCAACCUCCAAGAUAUGGAAGACAGGGUCAAGUGCAUCCUCUUACUCCUGGGAGAGGAAGCAGAUUCUUUUGCAAAGAGGGCGGAAAUGUAUUACAAGAGGCGACCAGAGGUGAUCAGCUCCGUGGAAGAAGCGUACCGGGCAUACAGAGCCCUUGCAGAACGCUAUGACCACAUGUCAGGAGAGCUACACAAAGCAAACCACACUGUUGCAACUGCCUUCCCUGACCAGGUUCAGUAUUCUAUGCUGGAAGAGGACGAUGACAGUCUCCCGAAGGCGUUCACGACGGUUGAUCCUCGUAAAAUCCACAAGUCAACGGUGGAAGGGCUGAUGAAUAAGAAGAAAGGAGGGAAGCCAGGACUGAAGGACGGAGGAAAGAGUCGUGCAGCACCGGCCAACAAGGAGAAUGCGCAAAAGGAGAUCAGCAGGAUGCAGAAAGAGAUAUUGGUGCUGCAGACUGAGAAAGAGUUCAUCAAGAGCUCUUACGAGAGUGGAAUCGCAAAGUACUGGGAUCUUGAAAAGCAAAUCAACGACAUGCAUGAAGAAGUCUGCUACUUCCAGGAGGAGUUCAACGAAAGCGUGGUGAUCGAAGAUGAUGAGGCCAGAGCUUUGAUGACAGCAACUGCUCUUAAAUCUUGUGAAGACGCCAUCGCCAGAUUGCGGGAACAGCAGAGGUUAUCGUUCAGCCAAGCAAUGGUUGAGCUGGAAAGGGCCAGUGUUUCCAGAGAGAAACUGAAGAAUAUCAUGAAAGAGCAUGGUAAGUUCAUAUCAGAUUCAGGAAACUCUCAUUACGAGAAUGUGAGAAACGAUGCCAGCGUUAAGAUGGAUGAUCUGUACUCUAUGAAGCAGGAGAAAAUUGGAAUGGAAGCAAUAGUAGAUAAGAUCAAGGAAUACUUUCAGAAAGACACUGAUAUUUCUGUGGCAGAGAUUGCAGAGAGAAUUGAUGACAUGGUCAAUAAAGUUGUGGACUUGGAACUCAUGGUUUCAUCACAGACUGCUAAGAUAGAUAGGCUGUGUCUGGAAAACACAGAGCUGGAGAUGUCACUGCAGGAACUGGAGGGAGAGAAGGCUAUAGCAACCAGUGGCUCAAAUGAAUUGAAUGACAAGCUAGAGAAGGCAGAAGAUGAGCUGAUGAGAGUGCAGUACCUUGAAAGCUCCUUCCAUGCAGAAGAAAGCAUAGUCCAUUCGAAUUUCACUGAAACGGCAAGUAGCUUCUGUUGUAUUACAGACUUGUUGCAGUCACCUCCUGUUGAGCACCAAGGUGGUUCUGUGCCCAUGCUGACUCAUGAAGCGGCACCCAUUGCUGACACUGAAUCAUCUGAUGAGUGCGAGAAAACAGAACCUGAAGAAGAUCCUCAGAUGGAUAAAGCUACAAUAAAGCCUGACAUAGAUGAACUCCCUGAUUGUUCCAGUAAACUGGAGCUAGCUACGGUCAGUGAUAACUGUCACCAUGACAUCAAGGAAGAAAGGCAAUACUGCGCAGAUGAUUUGGAGGAUUUGUGGGAUUGCGGGCUUGAAAGAAAGUCCAGCUUUGCAGUUGCAUCUGUAAAUAAGGAAACAGCAGAAAAUGUUAUUACAGAUAUGUUGCACUCACCUCUCACUGAGCACCAAGCUGGUUGUGUGCCCACACUGGCUGAUGAAGCAACACCAUCCGCUGACACCGAACCAUCUGGCGAGUAUGAGAAAAUAAAACCAGAAGAAGAUCCUCUGAUGAAUAAAGCUACAAGAAAGCCUGACAUAGAUGGACUCCCUGAUUGUUCCAGUAAGUUAGAGCUAGCUACAGUCAAUGAUAACUCUCACCAGUCUAACUGUUACAAUGACAUUAAGGCAGAAAGGCAUGACUGCACAGAUAAUUUGGAGGAUUUAUGGGAUUGUGGGUUUGAAAGAAAUGCUAGCUUUGCAGUUGCAUCGGUGAAUAAGGAAACAGCUGAAAAUCCAGACAAUGAUACUACAGAUAUGUUGCAGUCACCUCUCACUGAGCACCAAGCUGGUUAUGUGCCCACAAUGACUGAUGAAGCAACACCACCCGCUGACACUGAACCAUCUGGCGAGUGUGAGAAAAUAAAACCAGAGGAAGAUAAUCAGAUGGAUAACAAUACACAAAAGCUUCACAUAGAUGGAUUUCUGGACUGGUGUGGUAAGUCAGAGAUAGCUAUCAUCAGUGCUGAUUCAGAGGAUUUCGGUAAAUCUAGCUUUGCAGCUGCAUCAGUAGAUAAUGGCACAGCAGCAAAUGCAGAUAACAGUACAUCUGGUGAACAUAACAAUACAGAAGUGAAAUAUAAUCAUGGAGCCAUUGGCAGCAACAUGCAACCAUAUGUUGUACAUUCCCAUGAGCAAGGUUCAGUAGAUCGAUUGCAUCAAAAUUCACCUGAAGUCUCAUGGGAUCACGACCUAAAACAAGUGGAUGGCAAGCAAGAUUCAUUGACAGUGGUUCAUAGCACUUUCGGAGGCCACUCAGAACAAUAUAUGAACAUAGAAGAACGGUUACAAUACUCGCAUUUCACUGAAACUUUCGCUCCUGGCAAUGGGAAAGCUGUUGGUGUUGGAGAUCAAGAGAACAACAUGGCUAAUAUGCAGCAGUUGCUUAUGAGUGGACUCCAAGACAAGGAAAUGGUACUAUUAACCGAGUGCAAGAAAAAAGAAUCAGAACAAGAUCCUCAGAUGGAUAAAGCUACAAGGAAGCCUGAAAUAUAUGGAUUCCCUGAUUGUCCCAGUAACUUGGAGCUAGGAAACAACAGUGACAACAGGCAGCCAUCUAACAGUUACCAUGAAAUUAUGGCAGAAAAGCAUGACAGUGCAGGUGAUUCAGAGGAUUUGUGGUAUUGUGGGCUAGAAAGGAAGUCUAGCUUUGCAGCUGCAACCGUAAAUAAGGAAAAGGCAGAAAAUGCAGACAAUGAUGCAUUUGGUGAGCAUAAAAAUAAAGGAGUGAAAUAUGUUCAUGACAUUGUUAGCGACAAUGGCAGCAGCAUGCAACCCUAUGUUUUUCAUUCCCAUGAGCAGGGAUUAGUAGAGCGAUUGUAUCAUGUUUCAUCUGAAGUCCCAGCAGAUCAUCAUGUGAAGUCAGAGGACGACAAGCAAGAUUCAUCAACAUCUUGUCAUAGCAUUUCCAAAGGCCACUCAGAACAAGAGAUGAAGAAAGCAGAAGAGUCAGAAGACGCACCUACCACUGAAAAUUCAAUUCCUGGCAGUGAAAAGGCUGUUGUUGUUAGAGAUCAAGAGGAGAACAUGGCUAAUCUGCAGAAAUUGCUUAUGAGUGGACUCCAAGACAAGGAAAAGGUACUACUGACCGAGUACACUUCUAUCCUCCGAAAUUACAAAAAUGCAAAGAGAAGGCUUACAGAAGUGGAGAUAAAGAAUCAGGAAUGUUUGGAUGAGAUGAAAGCCAUGAUGAGCGAACUGCGCUCUGCCAAUGAAUUGAAGGACAAGGAGAUUCGGUCACUGCGUGAACUCCUGAACUCUUCCACUGACAAAGAUGCACAGCACAAUGGCCAUCAUCAAAUGAAUACAUACACGUCCUUGAGUAUCAAGAGUGGGUCCUUCAGGGGGCACCGAAGGAUCCCAAGCUUUUUGCCUGGUCAUCAAAGGAGACAAAGCGCUUCUUCGAGUUCGAGGAUAAUCAUGAAUAAUUCUAGUCCCAAGAACAAAGAUGAUGCAUCACAUGAUGCUGUUUUCGAGCCAGAAAGAAUCGGUAUGGGUGACAUCAAAUUAACUAAUAUUCUUGAGAUGCAGAAUGCCUCACCUCUUGAGGACAAGUUCAGAAGAGACAUCGAUGGGCUUUUGGAGGAGAACCUAGAGUUCUGGAUGAAGUUCAGCACAUCAUUCGAAAAGAUUCUAGAAUUGCAGACCAAGCAUGAUCAGCUGCAAUCAGAGAUUGGCAAGCAAACAAACGAGGACAAGCUCAAGGAAAACAGCGGUGGCACAAGUGAUCCCCUUGCAAAAGCUGAACCCGAAACCAUAGAGAAGCGGCUAAGGGAACUUACGAUUGAAAUGCAAGUAUGGCUGGAACAGAACGCUAUGUUCAAAGGGGAGCUCCAGUGCAGGUUUGCUUCCCUCUGCGGUAUACAAGAGGAAAUCCAGGCAGCAAUGGAGAUGGAUGCAGAGACUGUGGAAGGAAUUCAAUUCACUUCAUACCAUGCUGCCAAAUUCCAAGGGGAGAUCUUGAGCAUGAAGCAGGAGAACGACAAGGUUGAGGAUGAACUGCAGGCCGGCUUAGAUUAUAUAAGAGGGCUACAAGAAGAAAUCGAAAAGAUCCUGGCAAAGAUACUGAAGAGCACUAGCUUAUCUGGGUCGAAAGGCAGCAGCCCUUGGAGGAAUGCGCCCUCUAAGUCACGAGUGCCGCUCCGGUCAUUCCUCUUCCCAGCCAAGAAAAAGAAACCAUCGCUGUUGGCAUGCAUGAAUCCGGCACUGCAGAAGCAGUACAGUGACAUGGCAUUCUUCGCUAAAAUGGAAUAG
Molecule: ribosomal RNA, 4533 nt
Filed under: Triticum aestivum (bread wheat)
Lineage: Eukaryota; Viridiplantae; Streptophyta; Magnoliopsida; Poales; Poaceae
Description: partial small subunit ribosomal RNA
Source: RNAcentral